UUCUAGGCAUUAAAGAUACCAACACAUGGCUGGAGCAUGAGUGAGCCCUUUUCUUUUACAGUCUGUUUAUUCUUACUUUACAUACAAUCCUGGUAACAUGCUUGGGUAUUGUAUUUCAGGCUUUCAGCAGAAUAAAAGUAAUACAUGUUAUGAAAAGAAACAAGGAGGCUUAAGAUUCAAAAGUACUGAUAGCCUGAAUGUAUAGCCAGAGCCUGACCACAAAGAAGCAGACAAAACAACUCUAAAAACAGAUAGAGGGACUAAAAGAAAUGAUGCCAUUUAAUGUUGGGCAAAUUCCACAUAUCUCAAAUAGUCCUGAGUCUUUUAGCUCAAAAUAAUAGUUGGACCUUACAAUGAUUGCCUUGCAUCACCAUGAUGCAUUUUGUUUUGAAUAAUUUGUUAUAAGAAUAUCAGAAAGGCUGGCAUAUAUUUCAGAAGGAGUUUUAGCAAAAUUGUUCCAAUAAAAAAAUUGUAAUUCUUAAAGGAGAAAAUAAAUCCUUAACUCAUGGAAAUGUUGGCUAUUCAGAAAAAUGACUAAUGUCUUUGGGAGAAAGAGUAUGGUUAACACAGAUUUUAUUCUCACUUUUACUCCCAUUGUUUCAGCUAUUACCUUAAACAGAAGCUUCCUUGUUGUCAUUUGCUUGAUGGCCAAACAGGGAUUGGCACGUGGCUUACCAUUCCAAAUUGAUUACGUUGCUGCCAGUUGGGGAUUUAACAGAGGAAAGAAGAGAUGGAUUUCCAGACAGAGGAAAUAAGAAUACCUGGAAAAAUAUUGAGAAAAUGAAGUCUAUUUAAGGGCUUCAUUUAUAUAUGUUUGGUAGCUCAGGCUGUGAAUAGAGGCUGAGAAGAGAAGAUUCUUUGUACAUGAAGGUGACGGGGGUCUUCUUCCUGUGGGCAAGUGCAAGACUAAUGAUGCUUUCAGCGGAAGAUGAAAGAAGAACUCAGGCAAGCUGCAAACAUGCAAGCUGUCAGGGUGAUUCACAGAGUAAUUACAGAAUAAUACAGUGUAAACUAUUAGGGGGUAAUAACAAUAAGUCAGGAUAGACUCAUCGCAUUGAAAACUUGGGGCUGACAAACCUGCCAGUUAUUUGCUCCUUCUCGAAGUCUAUAAACAGUGUAAUAUGAGCUAAGCCUGGCAGCUGGAUUCAAAAGAGACAGAUCUAUUUUUCCUUUUUACAUUAAGUUGUGAUGUAGAAAUGGAAAAAUAGAAAUGUAAGCAGUUAGGCUAAUAUCAGCACUAAUGUCCAGAUACAGUGAUAAUUGUCAGGUGCCUAAAACCCCCAGAUAUGGGGUAGACUCAGUUCAUUGAAAGUCAAAAAUAAAGCAAAGGCAUAAGGAUGGACGUGCCUCAUUCUAAC
Canis lupus familiaris (dog) is the source of this 1358-nucleotide long non-coding RNA. RefSeq lists it as uncharacterized. The transcript has 3 exons. NCBI's taxonomy places the organism in Eukaryota, Metazoa, Chordata, Mammalia, Carnivora, Canidae. The record is from RefSeq and is a predicted model, not a curated record.